Molecule: unclassified non-coding RNA, 400 nt
Filed under: soil metagenome
Description: partial contains 5.8S ribosomal RNA, internal transcribed spacer 2, and large subunit ribosomal RNA
Rfam family: 5.8S ribosomal RNA (bases 1-122)
Source: RNAcentral
GAUGAAGAACGUAGCGAAAUGCGAUACUUGGUGUGAUUUGCAGAAUCCCGUGAACCAUCGAGUCUUUGAACGCAAGUUGCGCCUCAAGCCAUUAGGUUGAGGGCACGUCUGCCUGGGCGUCACAUAUCGUUGCCUGAUGCCAGUUUCCUCGUGAUGGGUGACUGUGCAGGGCGAAUGAUGGCUUCCCGUGAGCAUUGUUGCCUCAUGGUUGGUUGAAAAUUGAGUCCUUGGUAGGGAGCGCCGUGAUAGAUGGUGGUUGAGUGACGAACGAGACCCAAUCAUGUGAGACCCCUACCGAAUUUGGCCUUCAUGACCCACAUGCGUCUUUGGAACGCUCAUGACGAGACCUCAGGUCAGGCGGGGCUACCCGCUGAGUUUAAGCAUAUCAAUAAGCGGAGGA